RNAcentral lists this small nuclear RNA (182 nucleotides) under Chloroparvula japonica. RNAcentral's name for it is "partial Dictyostelium signal recognition particle". The record is from RNAcentral. Lineage: Eukaryota; Viridiplantae; Chlorophyta; Chloropicophyceae; Chloropicales; Chloropicaceae.
AUGAGUGACAUACGGUGGAAGCAGACGAUAGACAUGGAUCAGAUGCAGGACGUGAAAGACAAACUGAUGGUGAGGCCUAUCAAUGCCGCAGACAAUUCGUUUGAUCACGUUGUGCUCCUCGUGGUGGUAAAGGAAGAAAUCCAACCUGUGCUCGACAAGUAUAAUCCCACGCGAAACCCGGA